Nothoprocta perdicaria is the source of this 311-nucleotide long non-coding RNA. RefSeq lists it as uncharacterized. The transcript is spliced from 2 exons. The record is from RefSeq and is a predicted model, not a curated record. Lineage: Eukaryota; Metazoa; Chordata; Aves; Tinamiformes; Tinamidae.
AUUCUCUGGCUCUGGAUUCUACUCAGACAUCUCUAAGAAAGUGGAAUUCGUUUUGAACUCUUCRGUUACAAAGUCUCCAACUAUGAAAAAUCUCUGGAGAAAGGAACUAGAGUACUUAUCAUGUCCUUGAUCUCAUCUUCCCCAAACAGCUCCAGAGUGUGUGAAGACUUCUCACAAUCACUCUGUAUCUCUGAGGAAAACUACUUAUAUGUCUCUGAAAGUACCAUAUGAACUGCGUUCUCUUUGACCUCCUUCUUCACCCUUUCUGUGCACUACCUUUCUGUUUAUCUACCAGAUAAACUGUUAUCUGG